RNAcentral lists this ribosomal RNA (433 nucleotides) under uncultured bacterium. RNAcentral describes it as "bacterial SSU rRNA". It matches the Rfam family "Bacterial small subunit ribosomal RNA", at positions 43 to 524 of the family's 1533-position model. The record is from RNAcentral.
CAGGCCUAACACAUGCAAGUCGAGCGCCCCGCAAGGGCAGCGGCAAAUUUGUGAGUAACGCGUGGGAACCUACCCUUUCCUGCGGAAUAGCUCCGGGAAACUGGAAUUAAUACCGCAUACGCCCUUUGGGGGAAAGAUUUAUCGGCAAGGGAUGAGCCCGCGUCGGAUUAGCUAGUUGGUGGGGUAACGGCCUACCAAGGCGACGAUCAGUAGCUGGUCUGAGAGGAUGAUCAGCCACACUGGGACUGAGACACGGCCCAGACUCCUACGGGAGGCAGCAGUGGGGAAUAUUGGACAAUGGGCGAAAGCCUGAUCCAGCCAUGCCGCGUGAGUGAUGAAGGCCUUAGGGUUGUAAAGCUCUUUCGACGGGGACGAUAAUGACGGUACCCGUAGAAGAAGCCCCGGCUAACUUCGUGCCAGCAGCCGCGGUAAU